Molecule: ribosomal RNA, 505 nt
Filed under: Didymium umbilicatum
Lineage: Eukaryota; Evosea; Eumycetozoa; Physariida; Didymiaceae
Description: SSU rRNA
Rfam family: Eukaryotic small subunit ribosomal RNA
Source: RNAcentral
AGCAAUUCUCUCUGAAUCUGCGAACGGCUCCGCAAACCAGUUGUAAACUAUAGCAAGCAAGCCCGGCUUCCCUCUCACGGGGGGGGUCUGGUUAUAGGGAUAACCCUGGUAAUUCUGAGGCUAAUACCUUUACGUACAACCUUGCCGACCGGGAAACCGGAGAGCGGGGGGACGUGCGCGAGUUUUCGUGAGAUUUGCCGGGAAAGGACGCAUGUCAUGACCGCGCUACAACGAUGCUCCCCCUCACGGGGGGGUUUCUAGCGGCUCUUGCUGUGUGCUUCUGACCUAUCAACUAGAUGGCAGCGUAAGGGACAUGCUAUGGUGACAACGGGUACAGAGGAUUAGGGUUCGAUCCUGGAGAGUGGGCCUGAGAGAUUGCUCAUACUUCUAAGGAAGGCAGCAGGCGCGCAACGUUCCCAUUGAACAUCGUUCGAGGGCGUUAGGGGACAUAUGAAUGGCUGUCCUAUGGAUGGCCAAUUCAAAUGGGUUUGUUGUAAACAGGCUC